CCAAGUACACAUGUGGCCUCCGCCAGCAGAGCACCAGCCCUGGGCAGCUGCCUCCCUGCUGUAGAGUGGGCGUGCGGUCAGCCCACACUGCACCCAAAAGCCUCAGCUGAGCACUUACGGAGUUGUGUCCACAGGGCCAUCCCAGACCUGUGUCUUCUAGAAUUCAUCAGUGAACAGUUCCUAUGCAGACAGCCUACUCCCACACGUACAUCCAACAGCCCGUCCUGGACCAGGUGGUGAGCUGGAAAGGCUGUGCACGUAGGUGGGUAGACGCUGACUCCACACGUCUUCUCUCCCCCCUUGCAGUAAAAGCUGCACCAUUGGGAUGGUUCUCCGACUGUGGAGCGACACGAAAAUCCACCUUGAUGGAGAUGGUGGGUUCAGCGUGAGCACAGCAGGAAGGAUGCACAUAUUUAAGCCUGUGUCUGUCCAGGCCAUGUGGUCUGCCCUGCAGGUGCUUCACAAGGCCUGCGAAG
RNAcentral lists this small RNA (476 nucleotides) under Pan troglodytes (chimpanzee). RNAcentral describes it as "retained intron". Lineage: Eukaryota; Metazoa; Chordata; Mammalia; Primates; Hominidae. The record is from RNAcentral.